This 253-nucleotide ribosomal RNA is filed under the name uncultured bacterium. RNAcentral's name for it is "partial 16S ribosomal RNA". It matches the Rfam family "Bacterial small subunit ribosomal RNA", at positions 524 to 776 of the family's 1533-position model. The record is from RNAcentral.
UACAGAGGUCUCAAGCGUUGUUCGGAUUCAUUGGGCGUAAAGGGUGCGUAGGCGGCGCGGUAAGUCGGGUGUGAAAUCUCGGAGCUUAACUCCGAAACUGCAUUCGAUACUGUCGUGCUUGAGGACUGGAGAGGAGACUGGAAUUUACGGUGUAGCGGUGAAAUGCGUAGAUAUGCGGAGGAACACCGAUGGCGAAGGCAAUCCCCUGGGCCUGCACUGACGCUCAUGCACGAAAGCGUGGGGAGCAAACAGG